Molecule: ribosomal RNA, 301 nt
Filed under: uncultured bacterium
Lineage: Bacteria
Description: partial 16S ribosomal RNA
Rfam family: Bacterial small subunit ribosomal RNA
Source: RNAcentral
CAGCCGCCGCGGUAAUACGUAGGUGGCAAGCGUUGUCCGGAAUUAUUGGGCGUAAAGCGCGCGCAGGUGGUUUAAUAAGUCUGAUGUGAAAGCCCACGGCUCAACCGUGGAGGGUCAUUGGAAACUGUUAAACUUGAGUGCGGGAGAGAAAAGUGGAAUUCCUAGUGUAGCGGUGAAAUGCGUAGAGAUUAGGAGGAACACCAGUGGCGAUGGCGGCUUUUUGGCCUGUAACUGACACUGAGGCGCGAAAGCGUGGGGAGCAAACAGGAUUAGAUACCCCGGUAGUCCCUGUCUCUUAUAC